This 253-nucleotide ribosomal RNA is filed under the name uncultured bacterium. RNAcentral's name for it is "partial 16S ribosomal RNA". It matches the Rfam family "Bacterial small subunit ribosomal RNA", at positions 524 to 776 of the family's 1533-position model. The record is from RNAcentral.
UACGAAGGGGGCUAGCGUUGCUCGGAAUCACUGGGCGUAAAGCGCACGUAGGCGGAUUGCUAAGUCAGGGGUGAAAUCCUGGAGCUCAACUCCAGAACUGCCUUUGAUACUGGCGAUCUAGAGUCCGGGAGAGGUGAGUGGAACUGCGAGUGUAGAGGUGAAAUUCGUAGAUAUUCGCAAGAACACCAGUGGCGAAGGCGGCUUACUGGGUCUCAACUGACGCUGAGGCACGAAAGCUAGGGUAGCAAACGGG